CUUCAUUGAUCCUGCCAGUAGUCAUAUGCUUGUCUGAAAGAUUAAGCCAUGCAUGUGUAAGUAUGAACUAAUUCAGACUGUGAAAUUGUGAAUGGCUCAUUAAAUUAGUUAUAUUUAGUUUAAUGGUAUCUACUACUUGGAUAACGAUAGUAAUUUUAGAGCUAGUACAUGCAACAAACCCUAACUUUUGGAAGGGAUGCAUUUAUUAGAUAAAAGAUCGAUGUAGGCUUUGCCCAUUGUACUAAUGAUUCAUGAUAACUUGACGGAUCAUAUGGCAUUUGCACUAGUGACGCAUCAUUCAAAUUUCUACCCUAUUAACUUUUAAUGGUAGGAUAAUGGCCUACUAUGGUGGUGAUGAGUGAUGGAGAAUUAGGGUUCAAUUCUAGAGAGGGAGCUGGAGAAAUGGCUACCACAUGCAAGAAGGUAGCUAGCAUACUAAUUACCCAAUCCAGACAUGGGGAGGUAGUAACAAUAAAUAACAAUACCAGGCUCUAUGAGCUUGGUAACUAGAAUGAGUACAAUCUAAAUCCCUUAACAACAAACCAUUAAAGGGCAAGUCUGGUGCCAACAGUCACGGUAAUUCUAGCUCCAAUAGCAUAUAUUUAAGUUAUUGUAGUUAAAAAGCUCAUAGUUGGAACUAGAGUUGGGUCAUCUAGUCCACCUCGCAGUGAGCAUUGCUCUACUUGUCCUUACUAUCAGCAAUGCACUCCUGGCAUUAAUUGGUUGGGUCAUUCAUCUGGUACUAUUACUUUGAAGAAAUUAAAGUGCUUAAAGUAGGCCUACACUUGUAUACAUUAGUAAGGGAUAACAUCAUAGGAUUUUGGUCCUAUUGUGUUGGCCUUUGGGAUCGAAGUAAUGAUUAAUAAGGAUAGUUAAGGCAUUUGUAUUUCAUAGUCAGAGGUGAAAUUCUUGGCUUUAUGAAAGAUGAACAACUAUGAAAGAUUUUCCAAGGAUGUUUUCAUUAAUCAAGAAUAAAAAAUAGGGGCUCGAAGAUGAUUAGAUAUUAUCCUAGUCUCAACCAGAAAUGAUGUUGACCAGAGAUCGAUAGAUGUUACUUUUAGGACUCUACCAACACUUUAUGAGAAAUCAAAGUCUUUGGGAUUUAUGGGGAGUAUGAUCGCAAGGCUAAAACUUAAAAGAAUUGAUGGAAGGGUACUACCAGAAAUGGAGCCUAUGGCUUAAUUUGACUCAACAUGGGGAAACCUACCAGGUCCAAACAUAGUAAGAAUUGAUAGACUGAAAGCUCUUUCUUGAUUCUAUGGUUGGUGGUGGAUGGCUGUUCUUAGGUGAUGGAGCAAUUUGUCUAGUUAAUUCUGUUAACAAGCGAGACCUCAGCCUACUAACUAGCUACGAUAAGGUGAUCCUCAUGGCUAGCUUCUUAGAGGGACUGCGGUCACUUAGACCAAGAAAGUUUAAGGUAAUAAUAGGUAUGUGAUGCAUUUAGAUGGUUUGGGCUACAUGCACACUACAUUGAUGUAUUCAAUUAGUCUUUAGCCUUGGCUGACAAGCUUGAGUAAUCUUUGAAAUUUCAUUGUGAUGGGGAUAGAUCAUUGCUAUUAUUGGUCAUCAAUAAGGAAUUCCAAAUAAGCGUAAGUCAUCAGCUCACGUUGACUACAUCCUACCCUUUGCACACACUGCUUGUCACUCCUACUAAUUGAAUGGUCCGGUGAACUGUUUUAAUCCUAGUGAUGUGGAUGGUUUGCUACCGAUGACAUCAUGAGAAGUUCACUGAACCUUAUCAUUUAGAGGAAGAAGAAGUCAUAACAAGGUUACCAUGGUGAACUUGUAGAAA
Molecule: ribosomal RNA, 1792 nt
Filed under: Durio zibethinus
Lineage: Eukaryota; Viridiplantae; Streptophyta; Magnoliopsida; Malvales; Malvaceae
Description: SSU rRNA
Rfam family: Eukaryotic small subunit ribosomal RNA
Source: RNAcentral